UUUAUAAAAUACAAAAACAUCCCAUUUCUUCAAAAAGUUUGCAAUUAGAGGUGUAACCUUGUGCAAAGUACCUAAUCUUUCUAUACCUCAGUUUCCCCUCCUGUGCAAUGAAGAUUAUAAUAGUACUUUCUUUAAGGGAGUUUUUGGGAGGAUUAAAUGUGCUUUUAAUUAGUACUCAAUAAAUGUUAGCUAAUAUUAUUAACAUUAUUAUUUGGAAAACACUGAACAAGAACAUCUCUUAGUCCCUCCCUGUGAUGACCUGGGUCCUGCAUUGUCUUCCUUGUGUCCUGUGUUUCUUUUUGCUUUAUGGCAUCAGACUCCUUGAUUCCCUUCUCAUGUUUCAUAUAUACUCAGUCCUUGGGCUCCUGCUUCCCCAUACCUUUGUGGGCUACUUCUCAUACACUGGGAUGGGGACCAAUGGGGCUUGGAUAUCGCAUGUGUGCCUUCUCUCAGCCUGUGCAGGUAGUUGAUUUUCCUUUCCUCCUCAACCCACAGUCUCAUCAGCUGGAACACUGUCCUCAGCCUUGGAAUAGUCAACUUGCUCACUGCUGUCACAUAUGGUGGUGACCCAUAGGGUCUGUCGUGUUGCUGCUACUGAUGAUGACGAUAAUGAUGAUGAUCUCUUUUGACUCAUUUUUCAGGUGAGAUUAACACUAUUGAAUACUUCCUCUGAGACAGACAUUGUGUUAGGCACUCAGCAGGCCUAUUCACAUUUUCUUCAAACAAUUAGUGUGUCAAAAAAUAGGGGUGUCUGGGUGCCUCAGUUAAACAUCCAACUCUUGAUUUCGGCUCAGGUCAUAAUCUCAGGGUUGUGAGACUGAGCCCAGUGUCAGGCUCUGCAUUGGGCCUGAAGCCUGUUUAAGAUUCUUUUUCUUCCUCUGUCCCUUCCACUCCCCUUCCCCCCACUGGCAUGCGUGCUCUUCUCUCUCUCUCUCU
This 936-nucleotide long non-coding RNA is filed under the name Canis lupus familiaris (dog). RNAcentral describes it as "lncRNA (ENSCAFG00845006993.1)". The record is from RNAcentral. Lineage: Eukaryota; Metazoa; Chordata; Mammalia; Carnivora; Canidae.